Molecule: long non-coding RNA, 297 nt
Filed under: Trifolium pratense (red clover)
Lineage: Eukaryota; Viridiplantae; Streptophyta; Magnoliopsida; Fabales; Fabaceae
Description: long non-coding RNA (TPRA_LNC004889)
Source: RNAcentral
UCCACUCCUCUUCUUCUCACCACAACCCACCUCUCCAUCGCCAAAGGAAAAAUCUCAUGGUCUUCUUCUGGUACGAUUUCCAUUUAAGAAUCCACAUCGUCAACGUUAGACCACAUAGCGAAGGAGCUAUGUACUACUCGAAAUCCAAAUCCAGGUUUUCUUUCUUCUUCUGUUUUGUUUCUCUAAUCUCGGUUAUACGAUUCAUCUUCACUUAUGCUUGUUAAUGGCGUUUAGAUUCCGCGAAACUAAUCAAAAUAUUGUUCGGUAUGCGAUUCUUCUCGGAUUCUAGCUUUUGAU